GUAGAAUCGAGAAUAAAUGUAUAAAGCUAGGCACAAAAAAAGAAGAAAAAUUUAAAAGAACAGUAAUUAAAUAAAAUGAUAGUGAUUCUGAUUGGGGCUAGACACAACACAGACAAGAAAAAGGGACAACGAAGGGGUGGUGGUGAGCAGGAAGAGAUCAGCUCCGUCGGGUGUGGUGGUGGUCACGGAGUGGAGCCUGAGGUGUCGUGGCCGUAUGGGACAUUUGUCAGAGGCAACUUUGGAAAUGGGGCAAAGGGUGGUGGUGGUGCACGGUGGGAAUGAAUGAUAAGAGCCCCUACGCACAAAAGGCCAUACUUUAACCCAUCUUGGCUGCUUCACCAGGGCUGCCUCGUAUACCUUAACCCGACAAUCUCUGUCC
RNAcentral lists this unclassified non-coding RNA (379 nucleotides) under Hevea brasiliensis (rubber tree). The record is from RNAcentral. Lineage: Eukaryota; Viridiplantae; Streptophyta; Magnoliopsida; Malpighiales; Euphorbiaceae.